GAUGAACGCUGGCGGCGUGCUUAACACAUGCAAGUUGAGCGAUGAAGGCUGGUAUUUGUACUAACUGGAUGACCAGCGGACGGGUGAGUCACGAGUAAGGUAUCUGCAAUUGUGCGAUGGACAACAUAUGGUAACGCUUGCUCAUACCGCAUAAAUCCAUUAAACACAAGUUUUUGGUUUGAAAGAUGCAAUUGCAUUACACUCAGAUGAUCUCGCGUUGUAUUAGCUAGUUGGUGAGGUAAAGGCUCACCAAGGCGAGGAUACAUAGCCGACCGGAGAGGGUGAUCAGCCACACUGAGACUGUGACACGCCCCAAACUCCUACAGGAGGCAGCAGUACUGAUACUGCGGCAAUGGGCGAAAGACUGUCCGAGCUACGCGGCGGGAGUGUGGAGGGUUGUCGGGUCGUAAAACUCUGUUGUUAGGUAGGAACGUUCGUUAGGUAGGAAAGCUCAUCAAGUGACGGUAACUACCCAGAAAGGGACGGCUAACUACGUG
RNAcentral lists this ribosomal RNA (497 nucleotides) under uncultured bacterium. Its description in RNAcentral is "partial 16S ribosomal RNA". It matches the Rfam family "Bacterial small subunit ribosomal RNA", at positions 28 to 507 of the family's 1533-position model. The record is from RNAcentral.